Molecule: ribosomal RNA, 1352 nt
Filed under: uncultured bacterium
Lineage: Bacteria
Description: bacterial SSU rRNA
Rfam family: Bacterial small subunit ribosomal RNA
Source: RNAcentral
AUUGAACGCUGGCGGCAUGCCUUACACAUGCAAGUCGAACGGCAGCACGGAGCUUGCUCUGGUGGCGAGUGGCGAACGGGUGAGUAAUAUAUCGGAACGUACCCUGGAGUGGGGGAUAACGUAGCGAAAGUUACGCUAAUACCGCAUACGAUCUAAGGAUGAAAGUGGGGGAUCGCAAGACCUCAUGCUCGUGGAGCGGCCGAUAUCUGAUUAGCUAGUUGGUAGGGUAAAAGCCUACCAAGGCGUCGAUCAGUAGCUGGUCUGAGAGGACGACCAGCCACACUGGAACUGAGACACGGUCCAGACUCCUACGGGAGGCAGCAGUGGGGAAUUUUGGACAAUGGGCGCAAGCCUGAUCCAGCAAUGCCGCGUGAGUGAAGAAGGCCUUCGGGUUGUAAAGCUCUUUUGUCAGGGAAGAAACGGUGAGAGCUAAUAUCCCUUGCUAAUGACGGUACCUGAAGAAUAAGCACCGGCUAACUACGUGCCAGCAGCCGCGGUAAUACGUAGGGUGCAAGCGUUAAUCGGAAUUACUGGGCGUAAAGCGUGCGCAGGCGGUUUUGUAAGUCUGAUGUGAAAUCCCCGGGCUCAACCUGGGAAUUGCAUUGGAGACUGCAAGGCUAGAAUCUGGCAGAGGGGGGUAGAAUUCCACGUGUAGCAGUGAAAUGCGUAGAUAUGUGGAGGAACACCGAUGGCGAAGGCAGCCCCCUGGGUCAAGAUUGACGCUCAUGCACGAAAGCGUGGGGAGCAAACAGGAUUAGAUACCCUGGUAGUCCACGCCCUAAACGAUGUCUACUAGUUGUCGGGUCUUAAUUGACUUGGUAACGCAGCUAACGCGUGAAGUAGACCGCCUGGGGAGUACGGUCGCAAGAUUAAAACUCAAAGGAAUUGACGGGGACCCGCACAAGCGGUGGAUGAUGUGGGUUAAUUCGAUGCAACGCGAAAAACCUUACCUACCCUUGACAUGGCUGGAAUCCCUGAGAGAUUGGGGAGUGCUCGAAAGAGAACCAGUACACAGGUGCUGCAUGGCUGUCGUCAGCUCGUGUCGUGAGAUGUUGGGUUAAGCCCCGCAACGAGCGCAACCCUUGUCAUUAGUUGCUACGAAAGGGCACUCUAAUGAGACUGCCGGUGACAAACCGGAGGAAGGUGGGGAUGACGUCAAGUCCUCAUGGCCCUUAUGGGUAGGGCUUCACACGUCAUACAAUGGUACAUACAGAGCGCCGCCAACCCGCGAGGGGGAGCUAAUCGCAGAAAGUGUAUCGUAGUCCGGAUUGUAGUCUGCAACUUGACUGCAUGAAGUUGGAAUCGCUAGUAAUCGCGGAUCAGCAUGUCGCGGUGAAUACGUUCCCGGGUCU